RNAcentral lists this long non-coding RNA (372 nucleotides) under Hordeum vulgare. RNAcentral's name for it is "long non-coding RNA (HVUL_LNC004034)". The record is from RNAcentral. Lineage: Eukaryota; Viridiplantae; Streptophyta; Magnoliopsida; Poales; Poaceae.
ACCUGCACCUGCAACUAGCAACGCUAUAAUAAGGUUGAGUGAGCACUAACUUAGCCAAUCAAUGUUUGCUAGGAUGUGGAGGGUUAGAGGCUUUUCAUGGUUAUUUUGGAGGCUUGAUAUUCAGUGGUAGGCAGAAAUAAAUAGCAAUGUAAACAAGACAGCUAAGCAUAACAAAAUUCGAAACGAUAUGAAGGUCACGAUCAUCUUGCGUGAUACUUCUUCUGAGGGAUCAAACUCUUCGCCUUUAGGAAUGUUCUCAACGGGAUCCUCGUAGUCGUUCUCGGCACGAGUUGCUACCCAAAAUAAAAUACAACAUCUAAUGAACUCACAUCCAUGGCAUGAUGCUCAAACAUAUAAUGCAUGAAUAUGAUG